This 482-nucleotide ribosomal RNA is filed under the name uncultured bacterium. RNAcentral's name for it is "partial 16S ribosomal RNA". It matches the Rfam family "Bacterial small subunit ribosomal RNA", at positions 28 to 507 of the family's 1533-position model. The record is from RNAcentral.
GACGAACGCUGGCGGCGUGCCUAACACAUGCAAGUCGAACGGAACUGUUUUGAAAGAUUUCUUCGGAAUGAAUUUGAUUUAGUUUAGUGGCGGACGGGUGAGUAACGCGUGAGUAACCUGCCUUCAAGAGGGGAAUAACAUUCUGAAAAGAAUGCUAAUACCGCAUGACAUAUCGGAACCACAUGGUUUUGAUAUCAAAGAUUUUAUCGCUUGAAGAUGGACUCGCGUCCGAUUAGUUAGUUGGUGAGGUAACGGCUCACCAAGACCGCGAUCGGUAGCCGGACUGGGAGGUUGAACGGCCACAUUGGGACUGAGACACGGCCCAGACUCCUACGGGAGGCAGCAGUGGGGGAUAUUGCGCAAUGGGGGCAACCCUGACGCAGCAACGCCGCGUGAAGGAGGAAGGUUUUCGGAUUGUAAACUUCUUUUAUUAAGGACGAAAAAUGACGGUACUUAAUGAAUAAGCACCGGCUAACUACGUG